UCGCCUCGGCCCUCCCGACGGACCCGAAGCCUAAACGUCUAUUUCUUUAAUAACUUUGUAACGGCUCGUCGGAUUGCCGAACCGUCUUCGCCAACGCGUUUCGUUACCUAGCAAUUAGGUUUACAAAGGGUCAAAUGAGAUCAAACCCUCAUAUUUUGAAAGUUUGCAUUUUGGAGCCCUAGGUUACAACUAUGCAAGAAAUCACUAAAUUGAUCCAUGAUUCAAGCAUUAAUCAUCUAGAUAGCAUGCUAGGACUCCUCUAAAUCCAUUUAUAAGGUAUUUAAACCAAGCAUUAAAGAUCUACCAUUAAAGGACUCAAGAAGCUCACCUCAAAAUGAGCUCCAAACCAUGGAGAAGAUGAAGAAGACAAAGGCGAUCCACCUCCAAGCUUCAAUCUCCACCAAAUCCAUUCUUUUUGGGAGAGAUUUAGAGAGAGAAAGAGAGGCUUCUC
Molecule: long non-coding RNA, 451 nt
Filed under: Ananas comosus (pineapple)
Lineage: Eukaryota; Viridiplantae; Streptophyta; Magnoliopsida; Poales; Bromeliaceae
Description: long non-coding RNA (ACOM_LNC010278)
Source: RNAcentral